This 406-nucleotide ribosomal RNA is filed under the name uncultured bacterium. Its description in RNAcentral is "partial 16S ribosomal RNA". It matches the Rfam family "Bacterial small subunit ribosomal RNA", at positions 30 to 526 of the family's 1533-position model. The record is from RNAcentral.
AUUGAACGCUGGCGGCAGGCCUAACACAUGCAAGUCGAACGAGGCGCGGACGGGUGAGUAGUGUCUGGGACUGUGCCUGAUGGAGGGGGAUCACUACUGGAAACUGUAGCUAAUACCGCAUUCCAGCAGAUGUGCCCAGAUGGGAUUAGCUUGUUGGUGGGGUAGCGGCUCACCGAGGCGACGAUCCCUAGCUGGUCUGAGAGGAUGAACAGCCACACUGGAACUGAGACACGGUCCAGACUCCUACGGGAGGCAGCAGUGGGGAAUAUUGCACAAUGGGCGCAAGCCUGAUGCAGCCAUGCCGCGUGUAUGAAGAAGGCCUUAGGGUUGUAAAGUACUUUCAGCGGGGAGGCGUUACCCGCAGAAGAAGCACCGGCUAACUCCGUGCCAGCAGCCGCGGUAAUAC